UAAAACAUUGUAUAUCAUGUGUCAUCAACCAACAAAACAUUCUAUAGGUGUCUUCCUGUAUUUUACCAUGACCAUCCACUAAAACAUUGUAUAUUAUGUGUCAUCAACCAACAAAACACUCUAUAGGUGUCAUCCUGUAUUGUACCAUGACCAUCCACUAAAACAUUGUAUAUCCUAU
This is a long non-coding RNA of Haliotis rubra (blacklip abalone), 178 nucleotides long. RefSeq lists it as uncharacterized. The record is from RefSeq and is a predicted model, not a curated record. The transcript is spliced from 3 exons. Lineage: Eukaryota; Metazoa; Mollusca; Gastropoda; Lepetellida; Haliotidae.